AAGACCUCGUCAGUGGUGUUGUCGUCUGUCCAUGACCUGAAAAGUUAUGUAUUGUCCAUAUUGUGGACUUGAAUUGGCUGGAUAUAUUGGAUGCUUUUGUGGUUCCUGUGGUAGCAACAUUAGAUUUCUGGCACCUUUUCUACAGAAUGGCCCAGAAACAGUGUCAGCUGAACUCACAGAGGCAGACCUUAUCCAUAAAUAUUUCUCAGAGGGCCACACAUAUGAAGUGAUC
This is a long non-coding RNA of Rhinichthys klamathensis goyatoka, 232 nucleotides long. RefSeq lists it as uncharacterized. The record is from RefSeq and is a predicted model, not a curated record. NCBI's taxonomy places the organism in Eukaryota, Metazoa, Chordata, Actinopteri, Cypriniformes, Leuciscidae. The transcript has 3 exons.